This 110-nucleotide ribosomal RNA is filed under the name Acanthosepion pharaonis. The record is from RNAcentral. Lineage: Eukaryota; Metazoa; Mollusca; Cephalopoda; Sepiida; Sepiidae.
GGCUACAUCACAUUGAAACACUAGUUCCCAUAUGAUGUCCGAAGUUAAGCAAUGUUGGGCCUGGUCAGUACCUCGAUGGGUGAUCACUUGGAAAUACUAGGUGCUGUAAG